This is a long non-coding RNA of Camelina sativa (false flax), 1188 nucleotides long. RefSeq lists it as uncharacterized. Lineage: Eukaryota; Viridiplantae; Streptophyta; Magnoliopsida; Brassicales; Brassicaceae. The record is from RefSeq and is a predicted model, not a curated record.
CUAAACAACUAGUCUUGUGUGCGUAUACACACUGCACCCAUGUAUGUGUACGUACUCUGGUCUCAUAAAUAAUAGUUUUAUUAGCUGCAUUUAUGAUGUGAAAAGUUUACAAGAUUGGUUUGUUGUGUCUGAUCAGACGUUGUUUGAUCGACACAGAUCGAAAAAGCUAACUAACCGUCAGUUUUGGAUAUUAUCAUAUUAUCUUCGACCUAUUACGUACAUCGCUUAUAUUUUCACACAACUAUUUUCAAUUUGUUUCCCUAUAGAAUGUGAAAAUUUGUUUGUUACGGUCUAAAAACAGAAUAUUCCACAUUUUUCUUAUGACGAUAAAGAACCACUAAUAAUUUGACACGUCAGCCCUUAGACUCUUGAGGUUUUCUCUCUACUUCACCUAUCUACUUUCCUCAUCUCCGACUACUUUUCUCAUUCUUCUUCUGUUUCCUCUUCUCAAAUAAAAUAGAGAGAGAGAGAGAUAUCGAUAAGAUUAGAUCUAUGAUAUUGAUAUACCUCGAGUUAUUACUUUUCGCUUCUUGAAUCAUAGAUCCUAUUAGUUGAAUAAUAAUAUAUAUGUACUACAUCUCUAUCUCUUGUGUGAGUAGCUAGAUUUAAUUUAUACAAGUUUCUCGGCGCGCGGAUCCAUGGAAGAAAGCACAUCAGUCGUUGUUUGUGGGUGCAGCACCAUUAAGAUUCACAUGGAAAUUGAAAAAUCUCUUAAAAAUUAGGGUUUUCAUAUGUAUAUGAGAAUCUUGAUGAUGCUGCAUCAACAACCGACGGCUACAAAAUAUCUAUAGCCGGAGAAAGAAACUUGAAGAUAGUCGUCGUCUAAGUCUAAAUCUUUGGAUCAUAUGAUUUUGUUUUGUCAAUUCAUUCAAACCGGGUCCUAACAAUGCUAUGAUCAAGAACAACAAGAAGAUCGUGAAAACAGAUCGAAUAAUAACUAUAAAGUUCGUACACAGUCCAGACUAUUUGUAGUUUCUGUUUUACGACUGUCUUGUAGUAACAUUUAGUUGAUUAGGGUGUCACCUUCUAUUUCUGGGUUAUAACUUGAUCUUACAUUUUUUUUAUUGUUCUAAUUUCGUAAUUUUAGAAAUUUGGUUUUCAUGCCAAAUCAAAUCAAACAUUAUGGUGUGUUGUACAUUGUACCAGAACUUUGUUUUCAUGUGGCUCAUCUUGAGUAAUAUUUGUCUU